RNAcentral lists this transfer RNA (74 nucleotides) under Candidatus Wildermuthbacteria bacterium RIFCSPHIGHO2_02_FULL_49_12b. RNAcentral describes it as "tRNA-Gln". It matches the Rfam family "tRNA". From Rfam's summary of the family: Transfer RNA (tRNA) molecules are approximately 80 nucleotides in length. Their secondary structure includes four short double-helical elements and three loops (D, anti-codon, and T loops). RNAcentral also lists the same sequence under 1 other name. The record is from RNAcentral. Lineage: Bacteria; Candidatus Wildermuthiibacteriota.
UGCGGGGUCGUCUAACGGUAGGACACAUCCCUUUGAAGGAUGUCAUUCUGGUUCGAGUCCAGGCCCCGCAGCCA